Homo sapiens (human) is the source of this 591-nucleotide long non-coding RNA. Ensembl annotates it as ribosomal protein lateral stalk subunit P0 pseudogene 2. Its record names the gene RPLP0P2. The record is from Ensembl. Lineage: Eukaryota; Metazoa; Chordata; Mammalia; Primates; Hominidae.
GAUUUCUUUUCCAGCCUUUGCAGGGAGAUCUCUCUUCCCAUCUCCUUCCUGGAAGACAGAAGCCUUGUGCGAGCCCCUUGUGUGAUGUCACCCCAGCUAGGGCCACCGGACGUUGGUCCUCAGCAGGGAGACUUUGGGUCCUCCACCAGGACCCAGGGCUGACCUGCAUGGCCAGGCCCCAUGGCCUGGGUAGAACCUUGUUUCUGCUCCAGAAUUCAUCUGUGUUCCCCAGUGCUCCCGGGGCCCUUGCACAGACCUCUGCGGCUCCAAAGGCUUCCUGCUGUAAUACUCUGUGCACACAGCUGAAUCCCUGACUCCACUCUGCUGAGAAGGAAAAAACGAUCAACGAACCUUCAUUUAAGAAAAAGCACAGCGUUCUCAUGGGAACCAAGAAGACAAGCCCUUAAUGCAAAGUGUAUUCAGAGAGAAGAAAACAAGAAAAGCAGAGACGAUUGGAUUACAGCAAUUGCUCUUAUAACUCCUCUCCGCCCACCCCCUCGAUGAGAAGCUGGUUUGAAGGACUGAGUAUCAAAUCCCUACUGAGCUCUGAGGUUCCAGGUGUGGAUGGAGUGUGGGGCCCAUGUGUGUGUC